AUGGAUAAAAAAAACUCUGUAAGGCUCAUUGAAGCCAUCGAGCAAUUGAACCCAGAGGCCACUGUAAAGCUCACUCAAGCUAUUGAGAAAUUGAUCCAGGAGCUCAAGGAAAAGUCACCUUUCGAUGCGCUAUCUGAGCGUAAGAAGUCAUUCAUUGAAGCUUCAAAAGCGUUUACGCUGUUUGCCGGCGCCGGUUUAAAUGCGAUGAAUGCGUUCGCUAUCACUUUGGCUUACAUGUCAAUGCAUUCGAUGAAUGUCAACGCAGAUGCUGCUAACACUACUUCAACAGCCGCUCCUCCUACUGAGAGUGCUACUUCUCCUCCCAAUAUGAUUCAAUCUUUUCUUAUCUUGGGAACAAUGUUUUGUUUCCUUUUCACAAGCUGCGCUACAGCAGUGGCUCAUGCCACUGUACAUCGCACAAAGUGGUUCUCCAUGCUCGUGGUGAUUAUGAUCCUGGAAGUCAUUCUCUUGAAUGUCACAUGCGCGCUUUAUUGCUACCUACUUACGGAGGGGGUCUUCUGCAUCAUUGCUGCUGCUCUAUUGUUUUUCUCGUUGGUUUUCAUGCUUGGGUUUAUUACUAUCGGCUUCCAUGGUUGA
Molecule: ribosomal RNA, 597 nt
Filed under: Triticum aestivum (bread wheat)
Lineage: Eukaryota; Viridiplantae; Streptophyta; Magnoliopsida; Poales; Poaceae
Description: partial small subunit ribosomal RNA
Source: RNAcentral